Molecule: ribosomal RNA, 87 nt
Filed under: Xenorhabdus nematophila
Lineage: Bacteria; Pseudomonadati; Pseudomonadota; Gammaproteobacteria; Enterobacterales; Morganellaceae
Description: partial 23S ribosomal RNA
Source: RNAcentral
UAGGCCGGGUGUGUAAGCGUAGCGAUACGUUGAGCUAACCGGUACUAAUGAACCGUGCGGCUUAACCUGACAACACCGAAGGUGUUU